UACGUAGGGUGCAAGCGUUAAUCGGAAUUACUGGGCGUAAAGCGUGCGCAGGCGGUUAUGUAAGACAGUUGUGAAAUCCCCGGGCUCAACCUGGGAACUGCAUCUGUGACUGCAUAGCUAGAGUACGGUAGAGGGGGAUGGAAUUCCGCGUGUAGCAGUGAAAUGCGUAGAUAUGCGGAGGAACACCAAUGGCGAAGGCAAUCCCCUGGACCUGUACUGACGCUCAUGCACGAAAGCGUGGGGAGCAAACAGG
Molecule: ribosomal RNA, 253 nt
Filed under: uncultured bacterium
Lineage: Bacteria
Description: partial 16S ribosomal RNA
Rfam family: Bacterial small subunit ribosomal RNA
Source: RNAcentral